GCGCACGUGGUGAAACUGGUAGACACGCCAUCUUGAGGGGGUGGUGCCUUCGGGUGUGGAAGUUCGAAUCUUCUCGUGCGCACAA
Molecule: transfer RNA, 85 nt
Filed under: Algoriphagus marincola HL-49
Lineage: Bacteria; Pseudomonadati; Bacteroidota; Cytophagia; Cytophagales; Cyclobacteriaceae
Description: tRNA-Leu
Rfam family: tRNA
About the family: Transfer RNA (tRNA) molecules are approximately 80 nucleotides in length. Their secondary structure includes four short double-helical elements and three loops (D, anti-codon, and T loops).
Source: RNAcentral